Molecule: ribosomal RNA, 463 nt
Filed under: uncultured bacterium
Lineage: Bacteria
Description: bacterial SSU rRNA
Rfam family: Bacterial small subunit ribosomal RNA
Source: RNAcentral
AACGAACGCUUGCGGCAUGCUUAAAACAUGCAAGUCGAACGAGAAAGUGGCUUCGGCCAUGAGUAUAGUGGCGCACGGGUGAGUAACACGUAGCUAACGUUCCUCUUCGCUGGGGAUAACCUCGGGAAACCGAGGCUAAUACCGAAUGAUCUGACACGGCCUUUGGACUGUGUCGGUAAAGCCUUCGGGCGCGAGGAGAUCGGGUUGCGUCCUAUUAGCUAGUUGGUAGGGUAAUGGCCUACCAAGGCUACGAUGGGUAGCUGGUCUGAGAGGAUGAUCAGCCACACUGGAACUGAAACACGGUCCAGACUCCCACGGGAGGCAGCAGUUGGGAAUAUUGGACAAUGGGGGAAACCCUGAUCCAGCAAUGCCGCGUGAAUGAUGAAGUAUUUCGGUAUGUAAACUUCGAAAGUAUGGGAAGAAUAAAUGACGGUACCAUACAUAAGCUCCGGCUAACUACGUG